GGUUAAGCGACUAAGCGUACACGGUGGAUGCCCUGGCAGUCAGAGGCGAUGAAGGACGUGCUAAUCUGCGAUAAGCGCCGGUAAGGUGAUAUGAACCGUUAUAACCGGCGAUUUCCGAAUGGGGAAACCCAGUGUGACUCGUCACACUAUCAUUAACUGAAUCCAUAGGUUAAUGAGGCGAACCGGGGGAACUGAAACAUCUAAGUACCCCGAGGAAAAGAAAUCAACCGAGAUUCCCCCAGUAGCGGCGAGCGAACGGGGAGGAGCCCAGAGCCUGAAUCAGCAUGUGUGUUAGUGGAAGCGUCUGGAAAGGCGCGCGAUACAGGGUGACAGCCCCGUACACAAAAGCGCAUGUGCUGUGAGCUCGAUGAGUAGGGCGGGACACGUGGUAUCCUGUCUGAAUAUGGGGGGACCAUCCUCCAAGGCUAAAUACUCCUGACUGACCGAUAGUGAACCAGUACCGUGAGGGAAAGGCGAAAAGAACCCCGGCGAGGGGAGUGAAAAAGAACCUGAAACCGUGUACGUACAAGCAGUGGGAGCACCCUUUUGGGUGUGACUGCGUACCUUUUGUAUAAUGGGUCAGCGACUUAUAUUCUGUAGCAAGGUUAACCGAAUAGGGGAGCCGGAGGGAAACCGAGUCUUAACCGGGCGUUAAGUUGCAGGGUAUAGACCCGAAACCCGGUGAUCUAGCCAUGGGCAGGUUGAAGGUUGGGUAACACUAACUGGAGGACCGAACCGACUAAUGUUGAAAAAUUAGCGGAUGACCUGUGGCUGGGGGUGAAAGGCCAAUCAAACCGGGAGAUAGCUGGUUCUCCCCGAAAGCUAUUUAGGUAGCGCCUCGUGAAUUCAUCUCCGGGGGUAGAGCACUGUUUCGGCUAGGGGGCCAUCCCGGCUUACCAACCCGAUGCAAACUGCGAAUACCGGAGAAUGUUAUCACGGGAGACACACGGCGGGUGCUAACGUCCGUCGUGAAGAGGGAAACAACCCAGACCGCCAGCUAAGGUCCCAAAGUCAUGGUUAAGUGGGAAACGAUGUGGGAAGGCCCAGACAGCCAGGAUGUUGGCUUAGAAGCAGCCAUCAUUUAAAGAAAGCGUAAUAGCUCACUGGUCGAGUCGGCCUGCGCGGAAGAUGUAACGGGGCUAAACCAUGCACCGAAGCUGCGGCAGCGACACUAUGUGUUGUUGGGUAGGGGAGCGUUCUGUAAGCCUGUGAAGGUGGCCUGUGAGGGUUGCUGGAGGUAUCAGAAGUGCGAAUGCUGACAUAAGUAACGAUAAAGCGGGUGAAAAGCCCGCUCGCCGGAAGACCAAGGGUUCCUGUCCAACGUUAAUCGGGGCAGGGUGAGUCGACCCCUAAGGCGAGGCCGAAAGGCGUAGUCGAUGGGAAACGGGUUAAUAUUCCCGUACUUGGUGUUACUGCGAAGGGGGGACGGAGAAGGCUAUGUUGGCCGGGCGACGGUUGUCCCGGUUUAAGCGUGUAGGCUGGUUUUCCAGGCAAAUCCGGAAAAUCAAGGCUGAGGCGUGACGACGAGGCACUACGGUGCUGAAGCAACAAAUGCCCUGCUUCCAGGAAAAGCCUCUAAGCAUCAGGUAACAUCAAAUCGUACCCCAAACCGACACAGGUGGUCAGGUAGAGAAUACCAAGGCGCUUGAGAGAACUCGGGUGAAGGAACUAGGCAAAAUGGUGCCGUAACUUCGGGAGAAGGCACGCUGACACGUAGGUGAAGUGAUUUACUCAUGGAGCUGAAGUCAGUCGAAGAUACCAGCUGGCUGCAACUGUUUAUUAAAAACACAGCACUGUGCAAACACGAAAGUGGACGUAUACGGUGUGACGCCUGCCCGGUGCCGGAAGGUUAAUUGAUGGGGUCAGCGCAAGCGAAGCUCCUGAUCGAAGCCCCGGUAAACGGCGGCCGUAACUAUAACGGUCCUAAGGUAGCGAAAUUCCUUGUCGGGUAAGUUCCGACCUGCACGAAUGGCGUAAUGAUGGCCAGGCUGUCUCCACCCGAGACUCAGUGAAAUUGAACUCGCUGUGAAGAUGCAGUGUACCCGCGGCAAGACGGAAAGACCCCGUGAACCUUUACUAUAGCUUGACACUGAACAUUGAGCCUUGAUGUGUAGGAUAGGUGGGAGGCUUUGAAGUGUGGACGCCAGUCUGCAUGGAGCCGACCUUGAAAUACCACCCUUUAAUGUUUGAUGUUCUAACGUGGACCCGUGAUCCGGGUUGCGGACAGUGUCUGGUGGGUAGUUUGACUGGGGCGGUCUCCUCCUAAAGAGUAACGGAGGAGCACGAAGGUUGGCUAAUCCUGGUCGGACAUCAGGAGGUUAGUGCAAUGGCAUAAGCCAGCUUGACUGCGAGCGUGACGGCGCGAGCAGGUGCGAAAGCAGGUCAUAGUGAUCCGGUGGUUCUGAAUGGAAGGGCCAUCGCUCAACGGAUAAAAGGUACUCCGGGGAUAACAGGCUGAUACCGCCCAAGAGUUCAUAUCGACGGCGGUGUUUGGCACCUCGAUGUCGGCUCAUCACAUCCUGGGGCUGAAGUAGGUCCCAAGGGUAUGGCUGUUCGCCAUUUAAAGUGGUACGCGAGCUGGGUUUAGAACGUCGUGAGACAGUUCGGUCCCUAUCUGCCGUGGGCGCUGGAGAACUGAGGGGGGCUGCUCCUAGUACGAGAGGACCGGAGUGGACGCAUCACUGGUGUUCGGGUUGUCAUGCCAAUGGCACUGCCCGGUAGCUAAAUGCGGAAGAGAUAAGUGCUGAAAGCAUCUAAGCACGAAACUUGCCCCGAGAUGAGUUCUCCCUGAGACUUAAAGUCUCCUGAAGGAACGUUGAAGACGACGACGUUGAUAGGCCGGGUGUGUAAGCGCAGCGAUGCGUUGAGCUAACCGGUACUAAUGAACCGUGAGGCUUAACCUU
Molecule: ribosomal RNA, 2903 nt
Filed under: Salmonella enterica subsp. enterica serovar Give
Lineage: Bacteria; Pseudomonadati; Pseudomonadota; Gammaproteobacteria; Enterobacterales; Enterobacteriaceae
Description: 23S ribosomal RNA
Rfam family: Bacterial large subunit ribosomal RNA
Source: RNAcentral